CCUUAAACCAUACAAGGAAAUUUCCCAAAUUUCUCAACAGAAAGAUUGAUAGAACAUGUGUGUGUAUACAUUUUAAUAUUUCUCUUAACAUUUUCCAUUCGUUUUUUAGUACGACUUUAUGAUUGCAAUAUUAAUCAUACCUAUUUUGUGCAAUAUUAAAUAGUUAUUGAAUAUGUCCAGUGUUAAUUCCAAUAUUAAUUUACU
Pelobates cultripes (western spadefoot toad) is the source of this 204-nucleotide non-coding RNA. Lineage: Eukaryota; Metazoa; Chordata; Amphibia; Anura; Pelobatidae. The record is from the annotation of a GenBank genome assembly.